RNAcentral lists this ribosomal RNA (681 nucleotides) under bacterium. RNAcentral's name for it is "bacterial SSU rRNA". It matches the Rfam family "Bacterial small subunit ribosomal RNA", at positions 66 to 744 of the family's 1533-position model. The record is from RNAcentral.
GGGGUAACAGAGGAGCUUGCUCUUGCUGACGACCGGCGCACGGGUGCGUAACGCGUAUACAAUCUGCCUUACACUAAGGGAUAGCCCAGAGAAAUUUGGAUUAACACCUUAUAGUUUAUUUUUAUGGCAUCAUUUAAAUAAUAAAGUUUACGGUGUAAGAUGAGUAUGCGUCCCAUUAGUUUGUUGGUAAGGUAACGGCUUACCAAGACUACGAUGGGUAGGGGCCCUGAGAGGGGGAUCCCCCACACUGGUACUGAGACACGGACCAGACUCCUACGGGAGGCAGCAGUGAGGAAUAUUGGACAAUGGAGGAGACUCUGAUCCAGCCAUGCCGCGUGCAGGAAGACGGUCCUAUGGAUUGUAAACUGCUUUUAUACAGGAAGAAUAAGGACUACGUGUAGUCUGGUGACGGUACUGUAAGAAUAAGGACCGGCUAACUCCGUGCCAGCAGCCGCGGUAAUACGGAGGGUCCGAGCGUUAUCCGGAAUUAUUGGGUUUAAAGGGUCCGUAGGCGGGCUGUUAAGUCAGGGGUGAAAGUUUGCAGCUCAACUGUAGAAUUGCCUUUGAUACUGAUGGUCUUGAAUUAUUGUGAAGUGGUUAGAAUAUGUAGUGUAGCGGUGAAAUGCAUAGAUAUUACAUAGAAUACCGAUUGCGAAGGCAGAUCACUAACAAUUGAUUGAC